GCUAGAAACUAGGUUGAUUCAAAGUCUUUUGUGGACACUUCCUUUAAGAACAGUAUUGAUAGACUGCCUUUAUGCAAAUCCCUUUGGAAGAAAGGAUGGAGAGGAAGAAGCCGGAAACAGAUCAGAGGCAGGAAAUACCAAAUUGCAUGUUUAUAAACGCUGUGAAGGAAUAUGACAAGAGGGGAUAAUGCUAGACUGGCGGCCAUGGAAACUGAAGUCUUCUGUUUGUUCACAGGACAGCUCAUAGCCCUGAAAGUCCCAGUUCAAGCUUCCACAAUCAUCCUACACAAGAGCACUGCUUCUCACAGGACUGCCUCAGCCUGGCAGGAUUCAGUCUCCUGCUCUGAGGGAAAAACAGGAAGUCAAGGAUCAAGACCGCGUGCUCAACUGAGAUCAGAAAGGAGGACAUACAGUGACUUGGCCAAAUCACUGGAGAUUCACACAGCAGAGCUCAGACGAGUGCUAUCAGCACAGCUGAGGAAGACAAGAGUUAGGGUGCAAGGAUCCUGAAAGAGAAACAUUGGUUGUGUUUUUAUUCCUUGGGUAUAAGAAUCCUGAAACAGAAAGGCAUCUGAACCUUGGAGGCAUGGGGUUCAUCUCAUCCUCAUCCAGCCUUUCACCAGAAACGUGAGGAGACUCAUACCACUUGAGGUAGUGUGGAUGUGUGGCACAGUUUUGGAGAGGGCUAUUCCCCUACCUUUACAUGGAAUCCAGUAACUCUCUGAAAACAUAGCAAUGGCAAAAGUCCUUUUCGAGACUGCAAGGAAAACAAACAACUACCAAGAGAAGUCCAAGCAUCAGGGAAAGAAUGAAGUGGUGUGGAGACCGUAGCCAAUAGCUGCUUUAUGAGCACAUUUGUGGCUACCCUUGGGGACCCAAGAAAUAACCGGAAAGAGUCAAACUGUUCUUCGAAUAGUUUUUGGAUUGCCAACUGAGCUUUCUUUGAAAGCAAAGCUGUGUCAAUACAAGACCACCAGGCACGUGGAGUUUAUACAGGUGACCAUGUUCUGCUUAAAUUCAGCAUCUUCUCUCAGUUCAAAUUUAAGAAAGGAGAUACCACACCACCUACCGACAUAUCCCAUUCUGGAAGAGUAUACAAACUAAAGAUAGAAAACUUCUCAAAUCUACCUGGAAGCUUGCAUAUUCAAAGGAACUAUUUGUUGGAGUGCCAGAUUAUUUAAGGGCCUUUGCAUGUUUCAAGUCCUCUUCUUAAAAAAAGCUGGGGGUGCAUUUCUACAAAGACAGACAGUCUCCAACCCUUUAUGGAGCUUUUGAUCUAAAAGAGAGAGAAUGCUUCCAACACUAUAAAGGACACCCUUAGUCAAAUCUUCUACGAAGAGGAUCCCAUUUUACUCACGCAACUGCUCUAGAUGCUCAUCACUGUUGGACUCAGGCAUGGCCGUGAUGGUCACCAAGGGACACGGAUUCCCUCCCAGCGUCUGGCAGAGAACAUCUUGCCGGAAGUAGACCUCUUUGAGGUUGACACUCUUUUCCAGGAUGUCAAGAUGAGUCUGGAGCAGAAAUAAAGCAGGAGAAACUCAGUGAGACGGAGCAGGAAGCAUCAUUCCUGCAUGUUUUGGCAUAACAGAAGAUCUGUUUUCAAGUUGCACUGAAAGCAAGAAGGAGGAGGGCAGGGGCAUAAAGCCCUCUUCCUAUCGCUGUGACAUACGAGGAAAUCACAGAAAAUGGAGACUCGGAAGGGUCAGGGGAUGGGGUGGGGGAGGAUCAUGAGAAAUGUGUUAAUGGCUACAAUGUACGUCAUUUGGGUGAUGGAUACCCUAAAAGUGCUGGCUUGACCUUUGCUCAAUCUAUGCAUGUAAGAAAACUUCACAUGUACCCAUAAAUUUGUACAAAUAAAA
Molecule: long non-coding RNA, 1859 nt
Filed under: Pan troglodytes (chimpanzee)
Lineage: Eukaryota; Metazoa; Chordata; Mammalia; Primates; Hominidae
Description: long non-coding RNA NONPTRT005766
Source: RNAcentral